This 163-nucleotide ribosomal RNA is filed under the name Pinalitus oromii. Its description in RNAcentral is "partial 12S ribosomal RNA". Lineage: Eukaryota; Metazoa; Arthropoda; Insecta; Hemiptera; Miridae. The record is from RNAcentral.
AUAUCUCUAUCAUUGAAUGUCUUUUGAAGGAAAUUUUCUAAANGAUUUUUUAAUCAAAAUGUUAGGUCAAGGUUUAAUAAUAUAAAAGUAGAGAUGGGUUACAUUAUUUUUAUAUGAGGAAAAUUNUAUGGAAAUAUAUUUGAAUUUGGAUUUGAUAGUAAAU